UACGUGGGGGGCAAGCGUUGUUCGGAAUUACUGGGCGUAAAGGGCUCGUAGGCGGCCAACUAAGUCAGACGUGAAAUCCCUCGGCUUAACCGGGGAACUGCAUCUGAUACUGGAUGGCUUGAGUUCGGGAGAGGGAUGCGGAAUUCCAGGUGUAGCGGUGAAAUGCGUAGAUAUCUGGAGGAACACCGGUGGCGAAGGCGGCGUCCUGGACCGACACUGACGCUGAGGAGCGAAAGCCAGGGGAGCAAACGGG
RNAcentral lists this ribosomal RNA (253 nucleotides) under uncultured bacterium. RNAcentral's name for it is "partial 16S ribosomal RNA". It matches the Rfam family "Bacterial small subunit ribosomal RNA", at positions 524 to 776 of the family's 1533-position model. The record is from RNAcentral.